Molecule: long non-coding RNA, 1706 nt
Organism: Priapulus caudatus
Lineage: Eukaryota; Metazoa; Priapulida; Priapulimorpha; Priapulimorphida; Priapulidae
Exons: 4
Source: RefSeq, a predicted model, not a curated record
UUAAAAAGACGAGAUAAAAGUUUACAUUCCCAGAAUAUCCUCGCACCUUUACCAGAACUGCGCAGUGAUGUUUUGUGAAACACGAGUGGGACAACAUACGAUACUAUACGAUACAAUGGCGCUUUUAUCACUUUUGAAAAUGGCGUCGUGUUUGUUUUCUAUUUGUUAUUUCGCACCCUUUAAAGCAUGUUUUCUCCCUAUUUUCAGCUCUGUGACACUCGGUAUGGAAAGUAGAGGGACUGAAAACAUUCCAUAUUUAUGAGGGUUUGAAAUCAUCUCGAAGACGAAGCAGGAGGAGAAUAAACAGUAGGCAAAGAAGAAGAGGAGAAAGAAGAAGAAUAACUAGAAGAAGGAGACGACGACGAAGUAGCCAUCUUCUGGAUGUCCGGUCAAGCAGCACCAACAGCACUUCAUGUUGCAUGCAGCGCCAUUAUUCAGCAGCAUCUCAGCGUAGCUCUCUGAACGUGUCAAAUUGAUAUCUGAUUCCACAAUAUGGAUACAAGAACACGGUGUAUAGGAAGACGAUGCAAGGACAUGUGUUCAUGAGGAAAAUCAUGAAGCACAUAGAAACAUUCAACACACUAAUGGAUGAGCAGCAUGGGUUUGAACCACAAUAUAGUUCAGAGACUCAGCUGCUCACAGCAUCACAUGGACUAGCAGAGUCAACUGAUGAGUGAAGGCAGACUGACUUAACCAUACUGGACUUCAGCAAGGCAUUUAAUCUACCAGUCUCUUAGCUGCAUUGAACCACUAAGAGACAUUCUACCAGUGACUUGGGUCAUUCUGUUCAAACAGAAGCUGAAGAUUCUUCCCACGUUACAAACUACGAAUGCCGAGGCACAGGAUUAGAAAAUCUUCAUACAGGAGCCGCAGUUGUUGCUGCCAUGGUUUCUCUAUAACUUGUAAAGGCCCUUUCUGAGUACACCCUAGUGAUGGCUGAGGCUGUGCCGGUUGGGUUUCGCACCCAGUGGCCGCUACGGUAGCCGGAUUGGUUCAGACCUGAAGGGACGAAAGGUUUGGGGGGAAACUACAAUAAACCGUGGCGUGCGACGACUGCACAUCUUGCUUCCACGUCGGAUUUAUGAAGAUGGCAUCGGCUCUUAUCUUGCUUUCAUCCCAUCGGAUGUGUCAAGGAUCUGGUGUGACUGAAGGGUACCUAACUUUGCCACUCAACGUCAGUGUUUUCACCUUUCCCAGUCUGCUUUGGGUCGGUCAAAACUCAUUGUCUGAUACUUCACAUAUCACCAUUGGUUAUGAAGACUCGUGUGUUGGGUGGACAGGUAUGGAGCAAGGCAUAUCAGAGAGAGACAAGGAAUAAUUGGUGCCAAGGUGCUAGCUUAUGAGGCUGGGAUUGGAGCAUGCUAACAUUUUGGAGAGGAGACCAGGACAGGAGAGGAGACCCAAAGACAGGACAAGAUGCCCAGGACAGGACAAGAUGCCCAGGACAACAGAGGACAGGAGUGGAGCACCAACUACCAUUCAUUAAGAAGCUACAUAACACUGCCACUCCUGAGUACUAGUUAGCAUGUGCCAGCCCACUUAUGUACAAGGUUUUCGUCAAGCUGACAGAAGUUAUAAGUGUGUAAAUCAUUGAUGCUAGAACUGUUGUAUAAAUGCACAUGUAUUGUUAACGUCAAGUUGUCUAGCUACAAUGUGUACAUCGUUUCUCAAAUGCAAAGUCGUGUUUUUAAUUGAGUUCGGUUUUU